ACGAACGCUGGCGGCGUGCCUAAUACAUGCAAGUAGAACGCACAGUUUAUACCGUAGCUUGCUACACCAUAGACUGUGAGUUGCGAACGGGUGAGUAACGCGUAGGUAACCUGCCUGGUAGCGGGGGAUAACUAUUGGAAACGAUAGCUAAUACCGCAUAAUAUUAAUUAUUGCAUGAUAAUUAAUUGAAAGGUGCAAUUGCACCACUACCAGAUGGACCUGCGUUGUAUUAGCUAGUAGGUGAGGUAACGGCUCACCUAGGCGACGAUACAUAGCCGACCUGAGAGGGUGAUCGGCCACACUGAGACUGAGACACGGCCCAGACUCCUACGGGAGGCAGCAGUAGGGAAGCUUCGGCAAUGGACGAAAGUCUGACCGAGCAACGCCGCGUGAGAGAAGAAGGUUUUCGGAUCGUAAAGCUCUGUUGUAAGAUAAGAACGGGUGUGAGAGUGGAAAGUUCACACUGUGACGGUAUCUUACCAGAAAGGGACGGCUAACUACGUG
RNAcentral lists this ribosomal RNA (504 nucleotides) under uncultured bacterium. RNAcentral describes it as "partial 16S ribosomal RNA". It matches the Rfam family "Bacterial small subunit ribosomal RNA", at positions 29 to 507 of the family's 1533-position model. The record is from RNAcentral.